AAUUUUGGACAAUGGGGGAAACCCUGAUCCAGCCAUCCCGCGUGUAUGAUGAAGGCCUNCGGGUUNUNAAGUACUUUUGGCAGAGNCGAAAAGAUAUCUCCUAAUACGAGAUACUGCUGACGGUAUCUGCCGAAUAAGCACCGGCUAACUACGUGCCAGCAGCCGCGGUAAUACGUAGGGUGCAAGCGUUAACCGGAAUUACAGGGCGUAAAGCGUGUGUAGGCGGUUCGGAAAGGAAGAUGUGAAAUCCCAGGACUCAACCUUGGAACUGCAUUUUUCACUGCCGAGCUAGAGUAUGUCAGAGGGGGGUAGAAUUCCACGUGUAGCAGUGAAAUGCGUAGAUAUGUGGAGGAAUACCGAUGGCGAAGGCAGCCCCCUGGGAUAAUACUGACGCUCAGACACGAAAGCGUGGGGAGCAAACAG
RNAcentral lists this ribosomal RNA (423 nucleotides) under uncultured bacterium. RNAcentral describes it as "partial 16S ribosomal RNA". It matches the Rfam family "Bacterial small subunit ribosomal RNA", at positions 360 to 775 of the family's 1533-position model. The record is from RNAcentral.